AUUAUAAUCACAGAAAUCUAGCCGUCACGAGAUCAAUGAACCUGUGUUUGUGUUAAUCCUCAAGCCGGUUCUUGAAAUUUUAAUUCUACGGAAUUUGCCCAGCAGACCACGUCACCUGCAUUGAAGACCAGGAAGCAAAGAUGUUUAACAACACGAAUCAAGAUAUCAGCGAGUUAACAAUGGAAACUUUCCAAGUAUUACUACUGUUCCACCGGACUGAUCCAGCACCAGAUGUUGGUACAGUUCGAACUGGAAGAUAUCAAGUCGGAUGAAACGAAAUGUUACUUGAUCUUCAUGAAAAUGGAUACUCAUCUGACAAUAAAGAGACUACCCGCACCGAAACAUUAAAUGUGGAAAGUCCAAAGAUAAGUUUGCAAAACAAUUUUUGGCAUCAAGAAUGAAGGUGAAGAAGCAUGCAGAAUGACCUUGGUCAUAGAAAACCAUCACAGUUCUGCAGUAAUCCUCAAGUUUACUGCAGAUAAGCAACCUACCCGCAAGAAUCAUAAAAUGUAUGGUUUCUCCAUCCAAAAUGGAUAUAGUCAUUUUUGCUGAUUCUAAACCAUAUCAGAAAGAUUGAAUCGAAGAGAUUAUAUUGUCUGGCGAUAAAAACCACGUCUCUGUUUUCAUCGAAACUUCAAUUAAUAAGGAUCCAACCUUCAUCGACAAUAUUCUUGCUAGUGCUUCACCGUCGAGUCCGGUUGACCAAAACUACUCUUCCUACCGAUGAAAAAGAAUACCAACCACUCGUACCAGUGAACAGCUUGAACAUUUUGGAAAAAUGAAGAUAUUAUUGUAGCAGUGCAUGCUGACAUUUCUGCUGCAACUCAUCACCAGAGCAUCCUGUAUAGAAGCAGCUGCCGGUUGAAGACAUCAUAAUAUUCCUAUAACAAGUAAGGCCUACGAAUUUAUAUUAGAUGUUUCGUUUGUCAGUUUAGUAAUAAGUAUUUUAAUACUACCUUCAUAAACCACAACUACACAUUAUCCUUGAAGGAGUAUGUAUGUAACAAAGCAAAAUUGUGUAAUAGUGGCUAUACACGGUAGGUUUUGCACGACGGUUUUGCCCCUACAAGCUAGUAUAACCGACUUAUAAAUUUACUGACAACCGUACAGUUUCCUUCCAUACACGCUAGGGUUUCAUGCACAGUUUUAAAUGUAAGGGCAAACGCGUCAUGUAAAACUUAACGUAUAUGACCACCAUAGGGCAGUGCGGUAACUCUAAAUUUACUUUUGCUUUCCUUUGGAAAUGUAGGCAGAGGUGUACAAAAAGACAAUCAAAUCAAUUGGCCAGAGCAUAUAGCGAUUAGUUAGGAAACAGUCUUGCUGUGUAGAUCCUUGAACCCUUAAUACGAGUUAGAUUUACGUUGGACGUUGAACGACAGUGCGUGCGGCGCUCUGAUUGGCCGGCUCGAAUAAACCAACCAAUCAGAGCGCCGAUCGCGCUCUCGUUUCGAUUACUUUAAACGUAAAGCUCGUACAAAGGGUACUUAACGGUAACAAGUCUUUCAUUUCUGAUAAUAGUAAUAAUAUUAUUCUUUUUUUACUGCAUAUUAUUACGAACCACAUAACUUUAAAAUAACAUUCUUUUUUAAUCAUAGAUGUGAAGGUAGGUCACUUUUAAUGAAAUACACAAUUAUGUUGGUAUGUGGGUAGAUAAAGAUAUGUACAUUUUACUUGCAAUGUCUGUGAGUUUGCAAUGUCUUUUUCUGCUUAUCUGUUGUAUCGGUUGUAGUUAUCGUCUAAUGCCAACGAUCCUCUAUCACAAGUUAUACCGAUAGUGUACCGUUUAGUUGUUCAGUACUGCGUCGCUUACGCCUAGGUCACGCUGCAGCUUCAACCCGUUAGGACAGCAUUCGCCCUAUGCACUUAUUUACUUAGUGUUCUAGGAAUAAAUCGGUUAUUCCGAGUCUGAGUCGCUCUCACUUUUACUGAUAUUAUUGUACGUACUAAUAGUAUAUGCAGGGAUAGUACAUACAGUAUACAUGAGUCGAACUGUAUGUGGUAUAUAGAAUAAUGGAUUCAGAUAGUAUACUAUAUUAUUCGUUACUGUGUUACUCAUGCCAAGGUCACGCUGUAGCUUCAACCCGUUAGGACAGCAUUCGCCCUAUGCACUAUGCAUUUAUAUAAUGUUUAGGGAACAAUUUGGUGUUUACCAUUACCAAGUUGAUAUUCCUGUAUAAGAAUAAAAAACUAAUUGUUAAACGCUUAUUUUGCGCCGACUUUAUCGUCUGUUUGCAUUGAUACGUUUUAUACUUUCUCUGCUUUUUUAAUGUUGGCCAUUGAAUAGGCCAAUAGGUUGACUAUCGAUACCUUCACAAUGAAAAUAAAUCAAAAUAAGACAUAACGCUAGAAGAAAUAAAGUCUGCGUCGCCUGAUCUAAGAACGUGAUAUUCGUUCAAAACUUUCAAUCGGGUCGCAACCUGCAGCUUUCGGGGAAUACUUUGUAUGCGGUAUAAACCGUAGUCUUCUUUCCAGUCUCUCUCUCAUAUUGUACAUUCCGUGCGCAUCUUUCUUCAAUUAAUAUAAUUAUUGUUCCGUCACAUGUGUGUGACAAAUGUGAUUUGUAACAUUUAGUUACAAAUUUUCAUUUUUCGUUCACUGUACUUUAGUUUGUAUUAUAGUGUACUAAUUACUUACAGCGUUGGUUAUGCCAUGCUGCAGCUUCAACCUGUUAGGACACCACGCGUCUCACGCGCUUUCUGUUUAAAGUCGUUCAGUUUUUACGAAGAAGUAAUAUCCACUUAGGAAUAAACUCAAAUCCAGCUACGGUGGUUUUUGUUAUGGCAACGGUCACGUUUGACAUAGUCGGUGGCAACAAGUUGCAUUAUGAUGUAUCUCCUCGUCCUGUAAUAUUGUUUUUACAACCAAUAUUAGAAGGUCGUGGAAAAGGGAAUAUAAUAUCUUACAUUGAGGUACAGCCGGGUCUACAAGGUUGGUCGAGUGAGAGAUAAGACAAUACAAUGGCGACUAUCACUAGUUUCUACGAACUGUGUCUAGACAUCAGGUGUAAUGAGCAUUGUUAUACUUUGAUUCCAUACAUCCAAACUAGGGCCUUAAAAUUGCUUUAACAAAAGAAUGUUAAUACCUGAUCCUACCGUGGGAACUUAGUCCUGUCGAGUUCUUGGAAUGUUGCUAGGCUUUUAGCUUCAAUGUAAGUGUGGGAGAGCCAUGCUUCGGCACGAAUGGGCCGGCUCGACCGGAGUGAUACCACGGCCUCACAGAAAACCAACGUGAUACAACGCUUGCGUUGUAUUUCGUCGUGUGAGUGAGGUUACCGGAGGCCCAAUUACCCCCCUUCCCAACCUCCCAAUCCCCGAAUCCCCAACAAUCCUCAAAUUCCUAACCCCAAAAGGCCUGCAAGCCAUUUGUAACGCCUACGGUGUUCCAAGUGUUCAGUGGCUUAUAAAAUAGAAAAAUAGAAAAAAAAAUUAAAAAAAUUAAAUCCUAAAAAAACACAAUGACGGGCUAAAGGACGAAUGGAAUUUUCCAUAAGUAAUUUUGUGGUUUAAGUUUGAUUAUAUUUAAUCACAAAGUUGGAGAAAUUAUCCGAUUCGUAAUUAGUUACUUUUUGAAGUCAAUUCCAAGGUGCUAUGGCAAUAAAUGAAAGAAGUAAAAAUAAAUUGUUAUAUUUUCUUGUUUUUCAUUACAUUUUUUAUGGGGUUUUCUAUGUUAACGCUUCUUCCAUGACUUUAUACUGCACGGUUAGCGAAGCAAACAAGAGGCGAGAGAAAUCGUUGCCAUCGUUAGUUACCCCAGCCAGCCGUCACAAACUAGCCAGACAUGGGGAACGAUGCCUGUGUUCUGGAGUCUUCUAUGAAGUACGCAGCGCCUUUUUUAUUGUUAUCAAUUACCCAAAUACAAAUGUCGGCGUCAUUAAAGUUUAUGGUUAUUGGCGUCAAAUCCGUUGGCUUGUCAUAAGCCCACCCACGUUUCUCAUCACAGGAGACUGUCGUCUCUUGUGUGACCAAAUUUGCACUUUGUGCCUCUUGGUUGCGGCUUCAGCGAGGUCGGCAGCUGGUAUCCAAUUCGCUGGCUCCUUUCCACUAAGCCGCAAACGUUUUCCAUCACCAAUCGUCUCAUCCGAUGAUUUACGAUUCCGAUUCUGAAAAUUUAAAAAUAAAUUUUAGAAAUAUAAUCCACAAAUGUACUAUUAAGUGGAGUGCAAUUGAAUAAAGUGAGCGUCUUGAUAUUCUUUUUCUUGUUCGGACGGUUACUCUUGCUGUUGCGAUGCCGUUGAUGGUACUGUUGAUUGUGAGGACGAUGGCGUUACUGGCGGCGCCGGUAGAGCGUUAAGUGAUGCCUCCAGUUGUGCUGUGACAAAAAUACACAACCACAAUAGACAUAGUUACUCAAAUAUAAAACUAAUACUCACAGAAAUCAUCCAAGUCAGCUAAGACUUGCUCUAUCGUAUCUUGCUGUACCGGUGGUGAUAGUGAUGGAUAUGUUGGUUGUGACUGUGCUGCAGUGUGGGUAAAGGAAGGCCCAGCUUCAGCAAGGUCAGUGGGUGAGAUUCAAUUGAGAUUGGUUAGAUGACGAUUCCAGCUGUGCGACUACAAAAAUACAAGCAUAAACCGUUGAUUCCAGCCAGCCGUUAUCAUUUUCUAGCCAGAGAUGGGCAACGAUGCCAUUUCUCUCUUUUAGUCUUCCAUGAAGUACGUAGACCCGACGGAGCUCCGUAUUCUUCAGAAUAUAUAUUUCUUGUAUUUUAUGAUUAUUUUUACAAUGUAUUAAAUUUCUACAUUAAUGGGGAUUUGAAUGCUUCCCGCAUGGUUAAUCUGCACGGCCAGUUAAGGCAAGCAAAAGUCGUUGCUAACGUUGAUUCCAGCCAGCCGUCAUCAUUUUCUAGCCAGUCUUUCAUGUAGGCCCGACAGUCGCAGUACGCCAACAGUGAUGUGAUUAGUGGAGCGAAUUGGCUGGUUAACUGCUCCAGCUCGGGAACUACAAACAAUACAAUACUAGUUAGUUGCGUGUUACAAAUGGCAUCAAAAUAGACUUAUUUACUCAAGUACAAAUCUUAUACUUACAAAGAAGAUCUUGGUCGUCUAUGUCGAGUUCGGACGGUAGCUCUUGCUGUUGCGAUGGCCCCAACUCUGGAACUACAAAAAAACAAUACUUGUUAACCACACAAGUUACAAAUGUAGUGUCUUUAGUUUCAAAUGUACCCAAAAUAGACAGUCAUUCAAAUGUAAAUCUAAUACUUACUGAUAAGAUUCAAGUCCUCCAGGUCUUGGCCAAGCGACAUGUCUGGCUGUGGCAGUGCUGGUGGUUCUAGAUCUGAUGGCACAACUGGUGGUGCCUGGGCGUUUCGGGACGCCUCCAGCUGAGCGACUACAAAAAUACAACACUACAUAAGUAAAUACUCGUAGGAACACCAAUCAUUGAUUAUAUCAAGUAAUUUUCAUUUUACCACUUACUUUGUGCCUCCAAAUCUGUGUUAACCCGCCUAUAGUCCUCGAUGUCUUGCUUGUUCUUGGCAUUGUCCAAUUUUUUAAUCACAAAUGCCAUCAAAUAGGCAGUCGAUACCUUCAAAAAGAAAUGAAAGUGCUCUUGCGAUGCCGUAGACGGUGGGUUAGGGGAUGGCCCCAGUUCUGGAACUACAAAAUAACAAUACUUGUUAACCACACAAGUUACAAAUUUAGUGUAUUUAGUUACAAAUGGAACCAAAAUAGACAUAUUUACUCCAGUACAAAUCCUAUACUUACAAAGAAGAUCUUGAUCGUCUGUAUCGAGUUCGGACGGUAACUCCUGCUGUUGCGAUGUUGUUGAUGGUGGCAGUGAUGCAACUUGCUCUGAUGUAACCGGUGGUGAUGGCUCCAGCUAUGCAACUACAUAAAUACAACACUUGUUAGUUGUGUGUUACAAAUGGAACCGAAAUAGACAUAGUUACUCCAGUACAAAUCUGAGAGAGAUCUUGAAUGUCUAUUUCUUGCAGGAACGGCAACUCUUCCUGUUCCGAUGCUUUUGGUGUAAGUUGAGGCGAUGGUGGCCGUGAUGCCACUUGCUCAGAUGGUGACGGCUCCAGCUGUGCAACUACAAAAAUACAACAAUUUUUAAGUUUUGUAAACUUAUAUUUGCGUCGCACUUUGAGGCUUCAAUCAAUUCUGACCGGGUUUUGGCAAAGUUCUCCCUCCUCUUCCUUCGGUAUUAUGCAUUCCCUGCGCGGUUCUUCGUCUAAAUAGAGUUCAUUAUGAAUAUAUUGUUCAGACAUUUGUUUUAUACGAACCAGGGACAGAGGGGUUCGGUUUGCACCGCUAUGUAUACCGCGUCUCGGUCUGGUUGCUUUGGAGCCGGAUUUUGAGGAUCUUUUUCCUUUCUGGCUCUUUCCCUGAUAAAAUAACAGAAAUCGGGUUAGAAACAACACAAAAUUUACAAAAAAAAAACUUAAGUUUAUAAAUAAGUGAGACAUACCUUCUCCAAAUUCUUAAUCGCCUUUCCUGAUUCCAUUUUAAAAAAUUUGGUUGUUGAAGCAGAAUGAGUUGCAGUCGCAGUGGUCUUUGGAACCUGUAGAUGUUGAAGGUUCUGCAUUUGCUUCGUGCACUUAUCCACUGGUUUAGGAACAAUUCAGCUAUUCCGUGUGUUACACUGAGUCGCUUUCACUGUUUUAAAUUGUACAUAAUUAAAGUAUAUGUAUGUAUCGACUCUGAGACAUACAUAUUUAAUUACUGUUUAUAUAAGUCAAACUGUAUGUGGUACAUGUAUAGUAACAAUGGAUGAACAGUGGACUCAUGCCAAGGUCACGCU
Long non-coding RNA from Spodoptera frugiperda (fall armyworm), 6738 nucleotides. RefSeq lists it as uncharacterized. The record is from RefSeq and is a predicted model, not a curated record. The transcript has 3 exons. NCBI's taxonomy places the organism in Eukaryota, Metazoa, Arthropoda, Insecta, Lepidoptera, Noctuidae.